CAGCUGCUGCUUCGUCAGGACAGUCCGGUCUGGUCUGGUUCCUACUAGUGCUACCCAUUUUAAUCUUCCAUUUUAAUCCGCCUCCUCCGCCGCCUCCGCCGUGGGAGUCGGUCGGUGCCACCCGCUGUCCGCCACUCUGACUGCGAGUGUGAAAAGAAGCGUCCUGCGAUUUUCAUCUCCACCGCCAUUCCGUGCCGCGUCCGAGUGAACCCCCGCCUCGAGAACUCGCUGGAAAAGUUCACCGGCUUGGCAGUUGGCAUUGCAUGAUCUCUGAUUUCGUCGUCUCGGCUCUUUCUCGUUCCCCAAGGCACGCUCCUCCAGUGCAACGUUUUGCACUCCUUCGGAUCUGAUCUGCUCUGCUCUGCGCAUUCCCUCCCUGGCGAGUAAGUGGGAGAUAUACUCCCGGAAUUGACGAGGAUGGCGGCUGAGCUCGUCAAUGCUGCGACGAGCGAUAAAUUGGGGGAGACGGAUUGGGCCAAGAACAUCCAGAUCUGCGAACUAGUGGCGCGUGAUCAGAGGGCUGCGAAAGAUGUCGUGAAAGCAAUUAAAAAAAGUUGGGAGGUAAAAGCCCCCAUUCGCAGCUGUAUUCAAUUACGUUAUUGGAGAUGCUGAUGAACAACGUUGGUGAAUAUAUUCAUAAGCAAGUGAUCGAAUCUGGAAUUCUUCCCAUUCUUGUAAAGAUGGUGAAGACAAAGACUGAUUUCUCCAUACAAGAGAGGAUAUUUCAUCUGCUAGAGGCAACACAAUCCUCCCUUGGGGGCGCUUCGGGGAAUUUCCCUCAAUAUUUUUCUGCAUAUCAGGAAUUGAUGAGCUUAGGAAUACAGUUUCCUCAACGGCAUGAAUCUGCACCUUCUGAUCCAUCUGCCACACGAGUAAAUGGGAUUGCACCAUCAGCCUCUCCUUUACAAGUGGAGAAAAAUAUUAUGUCAAGUCGGGAAGAGGCCUCUGCCAGAGUUGAUAGACAUCCACACCAACCAGAAGUACAGUGCAUUCCCGAAUCAAGUAUUAUUCAAAAGGCCAGGAAUGCAUUGGAGGUUAUGAAAGAGGUCAUGAAUACAGUCGCUGGUCAACAGACUCAACAUGCUCUGGGUCCAAAGGAUGAAUUCACCCUUGAUCUUGUGGAGCAAUGCUCUUUCCAGAAACAAGGAGUAAUGCAUCUUAUUCUAACAUCUAGGGAUGAAAAAGUAGUUUCUCAAGCAAUUGAAUUGAAUGAACAACUCCAGAAGGUACUUGAAAGACAUGAUGCUCUUCUUUCUGCUAGAACUGGAACAACUGCACAUCAUACUGAUUGUAAACCAGAGGAGGAAGAAGAAGCUCAACAGCUUUUCCGAAGGACACAGAGAGGAAAAGCUUGUGCAAGGCCUGAAAAAGAAGAGAAUUCCAAGCAGAGGCACACCUUAGAGUUGUCAGAAUCGUCCAAUUCAGAUCAAUCUACUGUACGAGGAAUUGUGUACGAAACAUCAAAUUCUACUAGAAAAGCAGAUAAGAAUAAUGCGUCUGAUCAGGAGGUAGCAUAUGCCAGUGGGAGUGGACUUUCUCAGCAACCAGAAGUACAGUGCAUUCCUGAAUCUAGUAUCAUUCAGAAAGCUAGGAAUGCAUUGGAGGUUUUGAGAGAGGUCCUUGAUAAUGCUGAUGGUCAACAAACUCAACAUCCUAUGGCCACCAAAGAUGAGUUCACCCUUGAUCUUGUUGAGCAGUGCUCUUUCCAGAAACAAAGAGUGGUGCAUCUUGUUCUAUCAUCUCGGGACGAGAAAACAGUUUCUCAGGCAAUUGAAUUGAAUGAGCAACUUCAGAAUCUACUUGACAGAUAUGAAGCACUACUUUCUGGUAGAACUGAGAUGGCUGCAAGUAAUGUAGAUUGUGAAGCAGAUGAGGAAGAAGAGCCUCAACAACUUGUCCGAAGGAUUCGGAAAGGAAAAACUAGUGUGAGACCUGAAGAUGAAGGGAUUUCUAUGAGGAGCCACACUCUAGACUUGUUAGAACCUUCAAAUUCAAGACAACAAGUAUAUCACCCGUGCAAACAGCCUGCAUGCACUGAGCCAUCUGAGUGCAAUGGGCAGCUUUUGCCUGUCGCAAUUCCGCCUCCACCUGCAAAACACGUUGAGAGGGAAAAGUUUUUCAAGGAAAACAAGUUGGCUGGCUCUGCUGUGGCUGGUUCUGCUGUGGCUGGCCACAUGAGGCUUCUGUCAUUGGAAAACGUUCAUGGCAGCAGCUCUCACAGUGGGAACAGUAACUCCAGUGACCAAAGUUAAACAGUAUCAUGCGGUGCUUUAGUAGUCUUGCUUAUAACUGUAUUCUAUUAGUUGAUUUUGUUUACUACCCUACCAAUAGGCGUUGUGAAAGAAGAGAACUGCUGCAACAUGAUUGUACAGAGAGCAUUCAGGUUUAAGGGGGGAUAUUCGACUGAAUAUAUGACUAUUCACUUUCAACUGCUGUGUUGACUUUGCAUUGAAUACUGGAGGAAUGAGAUUUCUGAUUUUUUUC
RNA transcript from Eucalyptus grandis, 2484 nucleotides. It is a transcript of the gene named TOM1-like protein 5, with no coding region annotated. The record is from RefSeq and is a predicted model, not a curated record. NCBI's taxonomy places the organism in Eukaryota, Viridiplantae, Streptophyta, Magnoliopsida, Myrtales, Myrtaceae. The transcript has 15 exons.